Molecule: ribosomal RNA, 439 nt
Filed under: uncultured bacterium
Lineage: Bacteria
Description: partial 16S ribosomal RNA
Rfam family: Bacterial small subunit ribosomal RNA
Source: RNAcentral
CUACGGGUCGCUGCAGUGAGGAAUAUUGCAUAAUGGGGGGAACCCUGAUGCAGCAACGCCGCGUGGAGGAUGACGCAUUUCGGUGUGUAAACUCCUUUUAUAUGUCAAGAAAAUGACGGUAGCAUAUGAAUAAGCACCGGCUAACUCCGUGCCAGCAGCCGCGGUAAUACGGAGGGUGCAAGCGUUACUCGGAAUCACUGGGCGCAAAGGACGCGUAGGCGGGUUGGAAAGUCAGGUGUGAAAUCCUACAGCUUAACUGUAGAACUGCACUUGAAACUUCUAAUCUAGAGUAUGGGAGGGGGAGAUGGAAUUAGUGGUGUAGGGGUAAAAUCCGUAGAUAUCACUAGGAAUACCUAAAGCGAAGGCGAUCUCCUGGAACAUUACUGACGCUAAGGCGUGAAAGCGUGGGGAGCAAACAGGAUUAGAUACCCUCGUAGUC